AGAGUUUGAUCCUGGCUCAGAGCGAACGCUGGCGGCGUGCCUAACACAUGCAAGUCGAACGCUGAACUCCUGAAUCUUCGGAUUUGGGAGCUAGGCGUGGCGCACGGGUGAGUAACGCGUGGAUAACCUGCCCACUAGUGGGGAAUAACCCCGGGAAGCUGGGGCUAAUACCGCAUAAUCUUUUCCUGACACCGGUCGGGAAAUGCAAAGCCCGCAAGGGCGCUGGUGGAGGGAUCCGCGUCUGAUCAGCUAGUUGGUGAGGUAACGGCUCACCAAGGCAGAGACCGGUAGCCGGUCUGAGAGGACGAUCGGCCACACUGGAACUGAGACACGGUCCAGACUCCUACGGGAGGCAGCAGUGAGGAAUAUUGCGCAAUGGGGGAAACCCUGACGCAGCGACGCCGCGUGGAGGACGACGCCCUUCGGGGUGUAAACUCCUUUCGACGGGGACGAAUGCCCGCAAGGGUUUGACGGUACCCGUAUAAGAAGCCCCGGCUAACUACGUGCCAGCAGCCGCGGUAAUACGUAGGGGGCAAGCGUUGCUCGGAAUUACUGGGCGUAAAGGGUCCGUAGGCGGUGGGGCAUGUCGGUUGUGAAAUCUCCCGGCUUAACUGGGAGGGUGCGAUCGAAACUGUUCCGCUAGAGGGCC
RNAcentral lists this ribosomal RNA (649 nucleotides) under uncultured bacterium. RNAcentral describes it as "bacterial SSU rRNA". It matches the Rfam family "Bacterial small subunit ribosomal RNA", at positions 8 to 650 of the family's 1533-position model. The record is from RNAcentral.